This 317-nucleotide long non-coding RNA is filed under the name Elaeis guineensis (African oil palm). RNAcentral describes it as "long non-coding RNA (EGUI_LNC052216)". The record is from RNAcentral. Lineage: Eukaryota; Viridiplantae; Streptophyta; Magnoliopsida; Arecales; Arecaceae.
AUAAAUGAGCAUCCAUGACUCACCGCACAUGAUCUUCCUCAAAAUCAAUAAUAUCAAAAACAUCUUGCCAAUAACAAAUAUUAGAAGAAUACCAUACUAAUUAAAUAUUCACAGUAUAAUUUAUUUUACCUAUAAAUAGGUGUAGAAAAUCUCUCUCUGAGUCGGUACAAUGUGAUGCCAAUCGAAAAGUAUCACGGGAGCAUAGCUGCGGCAUAUGAUGCCCAGCUCGGUCUGCCAUGGCUCGCACCAUCUCCUAAUGGGCCUAGUGUAGCCAGGUGGUAUCUCGAUACGGAGAUGUUGUCUCGGAUGCUCACAUC